This is a non-coding RNA of Cinara cedri, 395 nucleotides long. Lineage: Eukaryota; Metazoa; Arthropoda; Insecta; Hemiptera; Aphididae. The record is from the annotation of a GenBank genome assembly.
CCAGUAUCUUUAUUUAUGUUAUUUUAUAAAUAUGAUAGUACUAACUAUAAUGGUGAUUUUUAGUGGAAUUUAUGAAAUUUGAAUAUAUCAAAUAUAUCGACUGGAAACUGAGUUUGUGAAAAAAGAAUAUUUUUCUGUGUGAUAUAAAUUAAUUUUAUUACUAUACUUAUUAAAAAAUGUCUGUAUUGAUUUAAAAAUCACAAUUUGUAGAACGGUCCGUUAUCAAUCAAUAUUUAAAUUCUAAAAUGUCAGCAUUUGGUUGUUUACUAUGACUAGUGAUUAAUUCCUGUUUAAAAUUCAAUAUUUCAAUGUUUUAUAUAAAUUGAGACAUUAUUAAAUAUUGGUUAAAAUUGCUUUUUGGUAAAAAUUGUUUUAAUUGCAUACCUAUUUAUCUU